GAUCAUGGCUCAGGAUGAACGCUGGCGGCGUGCUUAACACAUGCAAGUCGAACGGUAAGGUCCCUUCGGGGAUACACGAGUGGCGAACGGGUGAGUAACACGUGGGCAACCUGCCCCUUGCUUCGGGACAACUCCGGGAAACCGGGGCUAAUACCGGAUACUCCGCGAAGAUCGCAUGGUCAUCGCGGGAAAGCUCCGGCGGCGAGGGAUGGGCCCGCGGCCCAUUAGCUUGUUGGUGAGGUAACGGCUCACCAAGGCCGCGAUGGGUAGCCGAGCUGAGAGGCUGAUCGGCCACACUGGGACUGAGACACGGCCCAGACUCCUACGGGAGGCAGCAGUGGGGAAUCUUGCGCAAUGGGCGAAAGCCUGACGCAGCCAACGCCGCGUGCGGGAUGAAGGCUCUCGGGUCGUAAACCGCUUUCAGCAGGGACGAAAACAGACUGUACCUGCAGAAGAAGCCCCGGCUAAAUACGUGCCAGCAGCUGC
Molecule: ribosomal RNA, 486 nt
Filed under: uncultured bacterium
Lineage: Bacteria
Description: bacterial SSU rRNA
Rfam family: Bacterial small subunit ribosomal RNA
Source: RNAcentral